Molecule: ribosomal RNA, 568 nt
Filed under: Ophiocordyceps philippinensis
Lineage: Eukaryota; Fungi; Ascomycota; Sordariomycetes; Hypocreales; Ophiocordycipitaceae
Description: Ophiocordyceps sp. KK-2023a partial large subunit ribosomal RNA
Source: RNAcentral
AUAUUAACGGCAAGUGAGCGGCAACAGCUCAAAUUUAGAAAUCUGGCUUUCCUCUGGAAGCCCGAGUUGUAAUUUGCARAGGAUGCUUUUGACAAGACMCCWUCCRAGUUCCUUGGAAUAGGACGCCACARAGGGKGAGAGCCCCGUCUGGUUGGAUGUCAAGUCUCUAUAAAGCUCCUUCAACGAGUCGAGUAGUUKGGGAAUGCUGCUCAAAGKGGGAGGUAUAUGUCUUCUAAAGCUAAAUACCGGCUAGAGACCGAUAGCGCACAAGUAGAGUGAUCGAAAGAUGAAAAGCACUUUGAAAAGAGGGUUAAACAGUACGUGAAAUUGCUGARAGGGAAGCGCUUAUAACCAGACGUGAGUAGUGUCCAAUCMCCCAGUAUUCUUACUGGGGCACUUGGAUAUUUUCAGGCCAGCAUCGGUUUGGCACAGGGRAUAAAGACAUGUGRAAUGUASCCCUCCUUUUGGGGGGUGUUAUAGCCUAGUGUGUAAUGCCCUGKGGUARACCGAGGAACGCGCAUCACUGCAUGGAUGCUGGCGUAAUGGUUGUCAGCGACCCGUCUUGAAA